GACGAACGCUGGCGGCGUGCUUAAUACAUGCAAGUCGAACGGAAAGGCCCUGCUUGCAGGGUGCUCGAGUGGCGAACGGGUGAGUAACACGUGGGUGAUCUGCCCCUUACUUUGGGAUAAGCCUGGGAAACUGGGUCUAAUACUGGAUAGGACCAUGCUGUAGGUGGUGUGGUGGAAAGAUUUUUUCGGUAAGGGAUGAGCUCGCGGCCUAUCAGCUUGUUGGUGGGGUAAUGGCCUACCAAGGCGUCGACGGGUAGCCGGCCUGAGAGGGUGGACGGCCACAUUGGGACUGAGAUACGGCCCAGACUCCUACGGGAGGCAGCAGUGGGGAAUAUUGCACAAUGGGCGCAAGCCUGAUGCAGCGACGCCGCGUGGGGGAUGACGGCCUUCGGGUUGUAAACUCCUUUCAGCCAUGACGAAGCCUCUUUUGGGGUGACGGUAGUGGUAGAAGAAGCACCGGCUAACUACGUG
This 471-nucleotide ribosomal RNA is filed under the name uncultured bacterium. RNAcentral describes it as "partial 16S ribosomal RNA". It matches the Rfam family "Bacterial small subunit ribosomal RNA", at positions 28 to 507 of the family's 1533-position model. The record is from RNAcentral.